AGUGAACGCUGGCGGCAGGCCUAACACAUGCAAGUCGAACGGCAGCACAGGGGAGCUUGCUCCCUGGGUGGCGAGUGGCGGACGGGUGAGGAAUACAUCGGAAUCUACCCUUUCGUGGGGGAUAACGUAGGGAAACUUACGCUAAUACCGCAUACGAUCUGAGGAUGAAAGCAGGGGACCGCAAGGCCUUGCGCGAUUGGAUGAGCCGAUGUCCGAUUAGCUAGUUGGCGGGGUGAAGGCCAACCAAGGCGACGAUCGGUAGCUGGUCGGAGAGGAUGAUCAGCCACACUGGAACUGAGAAACGGUCCAGACUCCUACGGGAGGCAGCAGUGGGGAAUAUUGGACAAUGGGCGCAAGCCUGAUCCAGCCAUGCCGCGUGUGUGAAGAAGGCCUUCGGGUUGUAAAGCACUUUUGUUGGGAAAGAAAACCUGUCGGCUAAUACCCGGCGGGGAUGACGGUACCCAAAGAAUAAGCACCGGCUAACUUCGUGCCAGCCGCCGCGGUAA
This 506-nucleotide ribosomal RNA is filed under the name uncultured bacterium. RNAcentral's name for it is "partial 16S ribosomal RNA". It matches the Rfam family "Bacterial small subunit ribosomal RNA", at positions 29 to 523 of the family's 1533-position model. The record is from RNAcentral.